GAGUACGCCCAAGCAACCUCAUCGCCAGCCCGUGAACGCAGCUUGAUUCCUGGCCACUUGGAGGAGGAUUGUCCUUUAUCUUCUACACUGCACUGUCACUUCUGAGGCUCUUAAGAAGACUGCAAGAAGCUGAGAGGGAACUCUCAAAAUUGGUACAAGAGGACUGAGGGUGUCUUGAAUGCACAAAUGUCUGCAGUAUAAGCAGUACUGAAAAAUGUAUAGUUGCUGCUGCUUCUAACUGUCCCUGGUUUUUUUCUUGUGCAAAUGUUCAAAGCUUUCAGUAAACACUGGUUCAAAAACA
This is a long non-coding RNA of Sinocyclocheilus grahami, 301 nucleotides long. RefSeq lists it as uncharacterized. NCBI's taxonomy places the organism in Eukaryota, Metazoa, Chordata, Actinopteri, Cypriniformes, Cyprinidae. The transcript has 2 exons. The record is from RefSeq and is a predicted model, not a curated record.